GCAGGCUGUAGCUCAACGGUAGAGCAUCUGCUUUUCAUGCAAUCCCAGGUUCAAUCCCGGGAGUCUCCA
This is a non-coding RNA of Podarcis lilfordi (Lilford's wall lizard), 69 nucleotides long. NCBI's taxonomy places the organism in Eukaryota, Metazoa, Chordata, Lepidosauria, Squamata, Lacertidae. The record is from the annotation of a GenBank genome assembly.